AGCAGUAUCCGCGGUAAUACAGAGGGUGCGAGCGUUAAUCGGAUUUACUGGGCGUAAAGCGUGCGUAGGCGGCUUUUUAAGUCGGAUGUGAAAUCCCUGAGCUUAACUUAGGAAUUGCAUUCGAUACUGGGAAGCUAGAGUAUGGGAGAGGAUGGUAGAAUUCCAGGUGUAGCGGUGAAAUGCGUAGAGAUCUGGAGGAAUACCGAUGGCGAAGGCAGCCAUCUGGCCUAAUACUGACGCUGAGGUACGAAAGCAUGGGGAGCAAACAGGAUUAGAUACCCCGGUAGUCCCUGUCUCUUAUAA
This 303-nucleotide ribosomal RNA is filed under the name uncultured bacterium. RNAcentral's name for it is "partial 16S ribosomal RNA". It matches the Rfam family "Bacterial small subunit ribosomal RNA", at positions 507 to 809 of the family's 1533-position model. The record is from RNAcentral.